GGCUGGUCCAAAGGUAGUGAGUUAUCUCAAUUGAUUGUUCACAGUCAGUACAGAUUGAACUCCUUGUUCUACUCUUUCCCUCCUUCUCACUACUGCACUUGACUAAGUCUAAA
Cavia porcellus (domestic guinea pig) is the source of this 113-nucleotide unclassified non-coding RNA. It matches the Rfam family "Y RNA". Rfam says of the family: Y RNAs are components of the Ro ribonucleoprotein particle (Ro RNP), in association with Ro60 and La proteins. Lineage: Eukaryota; Metazoa; Chordata; Mammalia; Rodentia; Caviidae. The record is from Ensembl.